Molecule: ribosomal RNA, 831 nt
Filed under: alpha proteobacterium SCGC AAA298-C20
Lineage: Bacteria; Pseudomonadati; Pseudomonadota; Alphaproteobacteria
Description: SSU rRNA
Rfam family: Bacterial small subunit ribosomal RNA
Source: RNAcentral
GCUGGCGGCACGCCUAACACAUGCAAGUCGAACGCAGUAGCAAUACUGAGUGGCAAACGGGUGAGUAUAAUGUGGGAAUCUGCCUUUUGGUUUGGAAUAACACGGGGAAACUUGUGCUAAUACCGAAUAAGCCCUUACGGGGAAAGUUUUAAUGCCGAAAGAUGAGCCCGCACUUGAUUAGCUAGUUGGUAAGGUAAAAGCUUACCAAGGCAACGAUCAAUAGCUGUUCUUAGAGGAAGACCAGCCACAUUGGGACUGAGACACGGCCCAGACUCCUACGGGAGGCAGCAGUGGGGAAUCUUGCACAAUGGGGGAAACCCUGAUGCAGCGAUGCCGCGUGAGUGAAGAAGGCCCUUGGGUUGUAAAACUCUUUCGUCGGGGAAGAAAAUGACUGUACCCGAAUAAGAAGGUCCGGCUAACUUCGUGCCAGCAGCCGCGGUAAUACGAAGGGACCUAGCGUAGUUCGGAAUUACUGGGCUUAAAGAGCUCGUAGGUGGUUAAAAAAGUUGAUGGUGAAAUCCCAAGGCUUAACCUUGGAACUGCCAUCAAAACUUUUUAGCUAGAGUGUGAUAGAGGUAAGUGGAAUUUCUAGUGUAGAGGUGAAAUUCGUAGAUAUUAGAAAGAACACCAAAAGCGAAGGCAACUUACUGGGUCACUACUGACACUGAGGAGCGAAAGCAUGGGUAGCGAAGAGGAUUAGAUACCCUCGUAGUCCAUGCCGUAAACGAUGAGUGCUAGACGUUGGAAAUAUAUUUUUCAGUGUCGCAGCGAAAGCAUUAAGCACUCCGCCUGGGGAGUACGACCGCAAGGUUAAAACUCAAAUGAAUGACG